AGAGUUUGAUCAUGGCUCAGAACGAACGCUGGCGGCACGCCUAACACAUGCAAGUCGAGCGAUCCCUUCGGGGAUAGCGGCGGACGGGUUAGUAACGCGUGGGAACAUACCCUUCUCUACGGAAUAGCCUCGGGAAACUGAGAUUAAUACCGUAUACGCCCUUCGGGGGAAAGAUUUAUCGGAGAAGGAUUGGCCCGCGUUGGAUUAGGUAGUUGGUGGGGUAAUGGCCUACCAAGCCUACGAUCCAUAGCUGGUUUGAGAGGAUGAUCAGCAACACUGGGACUGAGACACGGCCCAGACUCCUACGGGAGGCAGCAGUGGGGAAUCUUAGACAAUGGGGGAAACCCUGAUCUAGCGAUGCCGCGUGAGUGAUGAAGGCCUUAGGGUCGUAAAGCUCUUUCGCCAGGGAAGAUAAUGACUGUACCUGGUAAAGAAACCCCGGCUAACUCCGUGCCAGCAGCCGCGGUAAUACGGAGGGGGUUAGCGUUGUUCGGAAUUACUGGGCGUAAAGCGCACGUAGGCGGAUCAGAAAGUAAGAGGUGAAAUCCCAGGGCUUAACCCUGGAACUGCCUUUUAAACUCCUGGUCUUGAGUUCGAGAGAGGUAAGUGGAAUUCCAAGUGUAGAGGUGAAAUUCGUAGAUAUUUGGAGGAACACCAGUGGCGAAGGC
Molecule: ribosomal RNA, 668 nt
Filed under: uncultured bacterium
Lineage: Bacteria
Description: bacterial SSU rRNA
Rfam family: Bacterial small subunit ribosomal RNA
Source: RNAcentral